CACUGUGUGUGUGUGUGUGUGCCUUUCUGUGACAAAUAGGCUACACAAACUGUCUUUACCAUGUCGCAGUCAAAACUGUACCAACACAAAUAUAGAAAAGAGUGGGAAGCAAGCUUUUAAGGGCUGGUUAAAGCCGUUUAUUGGAGACGACACACAAGCAUACUGUCACUAUUGCAAGGUAGAUUUCUGUGCCAUAAACUAUGUUUUGCAAACUGUGUCAUGUACAGGGCCUUAUAUCAAGUCUUUUAAGUCUCCCUUGGAUGGUGAUGAAAUUAGGGCUAAUAAUGUUUUAUAAUGGCUAUGCUAUGGAGAAAAUGAAUGGGAUUUUUACUUCCAGUUAUGCAAAUUAUGCGAAGACGUCAUCUAGCGUCUUCUAGCGACUUUUAGGAGAGCCAAUUGAGCUCCUGCGUCACGUGACUUUUGGUUGUCGGACGCCAUUUUGGCAGUAAACAUGACGACCAGCGCCAGCAGCCUUCAAGAGUUCCUACCGAGCGAGUAUACGUGCCAUUUUAGUUUAGAUGAAAUUCGUUUUUAUACUGGAAAAUUACAUCGCUUAAAUAUAAGUGACCCAUAUAACGCUCCUGGGGUGCUUUUUUUUCUUGCAUCCAAAGACUUCGGUAUCAUCACUGCAAGGGUUAAUCACUCCCAACGGCUGAAUGACAGUCAACUGAAGCCAUGGGUGGUGGUGAGGAACGACGGUGUAGUGAUGGGAGCCCACUGUAACUGCACAGCAGGACUUGGGGAGAGUUGUUCUCAUGUGUCAGCUGUGCUCUUCAGACUGUGGGAAAAAAACAAUGCAAGGCAUGAGGAGAUCAGCUGCACGUCCAAAAAAUGCAAGUGGACCUCUCCCAGUGAGGAUGCUGGGAAGAAUGUGGAGUACCAACAGGGAAAGGACAUCAUAUUCAACAGUAGUCAACAAAAUAAAAAGGGGAAUUCCACCAAGGGUACAUCUGCGCCCCCAUCUUUCCCACCCCUGACUGCUGCUGAGCAAGCGCAGUUCUACCAAAACCUCUCUCAGUGCCGGACUCAAGAUGGGAAGUCCUGCAGACCUGCUGUUCUGUCAGUUGUUCCCGGGUAUGCCACAACCUAUGUACCAAAGGCUGUCAAGCUUGAUUUACCUGAACCCCUUACCAGUUUGUACGACAAGAAGGCAAGAGACCUGAGCCUGGCUGAAUUACAAGAGCGUGCAGAAGGAAUAUUUGAUGACUUGACUGUCACUGAACAACAGUUGGGGAUGCAAGAAUGAAGAACUAGCCAGAAAAUACUACGAAAUGCAACAUCGUCUAUCACACAGAGAUGUCCUGAUUAGACCAGCCGGAUUUAAAAUAUCAACUCUCCACCCAUUUAUUGGGGCCUCACCGGAUGGGUAUGUUUCCUGCAGCUGCUGUGGUACAGGGGUUAUAGAAAUUAAGUGUCCAUUUUCAGCAAAGGACCUUUCUAUCAGUGAAGCUGUACAGUCUGUUGGACACUUUUGCCUGGAACAAGAUUCCCAAGGAAAAAUUAAAGUUAAGCGAGACCAGUUAAGCAUACUUCCACCAAGUCCAGAUGCAGCUAUUUGUUACGAAAUGUGAUUACUGUGAUUUUAUUCUGUGGACAGAAAAAGAUGAUUCACUCUUUGUGGAACGCAUUACAUUCGACUCAGAAUUCUUCCAAAAAGAACUUGAACUUGCUCGUACCUUCUUUAUAAAAUGUAUAAUCCCAGAGUUGUUAGGCAAAUGGUUUUCUGCACCAAAACAAGCAACUGCAAACACCAAUCCCCAGCAACAGUGGUGCUACUGCCGCGCACCUGCGGCAGGGAACAUGCUUGUUUGUGCCUCAGGGUUCUGUGCCGUGGAGAAGUUCCACCAAACCUGCCUUCGGAUGAAAAGGGUACCGAAACAGUGGGUGUGUCCAAGCUGUAGGAAACUAAUCAAUGCCCAAAAAAAAACCUUAAUUAUUUAGUCUUACUUAAUUACACAAUGUGUGAAUAUGAACUAGCUGAUGCAAUGUAAAUAUUUAAUUGGUUAAUAAAAACUGUUAAGCCAAUGUUGUUCUCUUCUGUGUCUGACUGUCUGUAGUAGUAUCUGUAGCGAUCAUAAAACA
Long non-coding RNA from Gadus macrocephalus (Pacific cod), 2082 nucleotides. RefSeq lists it as uncharacterized. The transcript has 3 exons. The record is from RefSeq and is a predicted model, not a curated record. Lineage: Eukaryota; Metazoa; Chordata; Actinopteri; Gadiformes; Gadidae.